AGAGCAAACAUUAGAUCAUAUAAAAGACUGGAACUAUCCUUGGCAUUACUGAAACAUCAACAGGCAGAGUGAGACAGACUUACUGUACAGAGACACAGGGAGAUUCAUUAUAGUGAGUGAGACAGACUUACUGUACAGAGACACAUUAUAGUGAGUGAGACAUAUUGAGAUAUGUUGCUAGCUGUGUGUGUCACUGUUGUCCUGGGCCUUCUCUCAGUGAGUGGCUCCCAGGCGGCCCCUUUAACCUGUGAGGAUCUCCUGAGACCACUGGAGCUGAGCAGUGUCACUCAGACUCUGGGGAGUGGUGUAUAUUGCUGAGAGUUCAGACCGUCCUUUCUGGGAACAAAUACUGUAUACCUUAUUACACAGUGCCUGGAUAGAGGUCUCUGUGCCGGUCGGUACCCAGAACAACAUUCUUGACAUCGCCCAGUUCUAUGGCUUCGGUAUUCCACAUCAAAAUGCUUUUGGAUUCGGAUGCUCCAGGAUCGACUCUAACUUUACUCUGCAUGACAACAGCACAUGGAGCUCAGUGACCCCCAUCCCUGUUACUGAGAGCCUCCUGACAACGUGCUCAGACUGCCUCCUGACCCUGGAGAGAUGGGAUGAGGAUGAGAAGUCCUACACCUCUCUAACACUCUACAGUAGGAGAAGGGAGCUCACCGCUACUGAACUGGACUUCUAUAAGAAACAGGUGGAUUGUCUCAAUCUGCCACCAGCGACGUUCAUGGAUCCACAAAAAGAUCUCUGUCACGACACAACUCCACUCAUAGAAGAUCAAAUUGCGAAGGAAGUUGAGAGUGCAGUUGAACUUAUUUCAGAGAUUCCAAGAAUGCUCAGAAAUACAUUUGAACAAUUAAAGAAUUCUGUUUAUCAGCCAUUUUCUGAAAUGUUCGGUUAAUGAGUAGUUGCCUCCUCCCUGAUUGGAAGGAGCAUGUGGGCAGCAGUAACCCAGGGUUACAGUACCUAACCCAGCAAGCCUGUAAACAGUGUCUGAUGCCUUGAUGUGGGACCAAACUCCACUCUGCUCGUGUUGCUCUACAUUCAACACAAUAAAUACAGAUUAAGACAAAUGUGA
Molecule: long non-coding RNA, 1075 nt
Organism: Salvelinus namaycush (lake trout)
Lineage: Eukaryota; Metazoa; Chordata; Actinopteri; Salmoniformes; Salmonidae
Exons: 2
Source: RefSeq, a predicted model, not a curated record